RNAcentral lists this ribosomal RNA (404 nucleotides) under uncultured Lactobacillus sp. RNAcentral's name for it is "bacterial SSU rRNA". It matches the Rfam family "Bacterial small subunit ribosomal RNA", at positions 148 to 525 of the family's 1533-position model. Lineage: Bacteria; Bacillati; Bacillota; Bacilli; Lactobacillales; Lactobacillaceae. The record is from RNAcentral.
AUUUGGAAAAACAGAUGCUAAUACCGGAUAAAAGCUACUUUCGCAUGAAAGAAGUUUUAAAAGGCGGCGUAAAGCUGUCGCUAAAAGGGAUGGACCUGCGAUGCAUUAGCUAGUUGGUAAGGUAACGGGCUUACCAAGGCGAUGAUGCAUAGCCCGAGUUGAGAGACUGAUCGGCCACAUUGGGGACUGAGACACGGGCCCAAACUCCUACGGGAGGCAGCAGUAGGGAAUCUUCCACAAUGGACGAAAGUCUGAUGGAGCAAACGCCGCGUGAGUGAAGAAGGUUUUCGGAUCGUAAAGCUCUGUUGUUGGUGAAGAAGGAUAGAGGUAGUAACUGGCCCUUUAUUUGACGGUAAUCAACCAGAAAGUCACGGGCUAACUACGUGCCAGCAGCCGCGGUAAAU